RNAcentral lists this ribosomal RNA (437 nucleotides) under uncultured bacterium. RNAcentral describes it as "bacterial SSU rRNA". It matches the Rfam family "Bacterial small subunit ribosomal RNA", at positions 30 to 492 of the family's 1533-position model. The record is from RNAcentral.
AUUGAACGCUGGCGGCAUGCCUUACACAUGCAAGUCGAACGGCAGCGCGGGGCAACCUGGCGGCGAGUGGCGAACGGGUGAGUAACAUAUCGGAACAUACCCUAGAGUGGGGGAUAACGUAGCGAAAGUUACGCUAAUACCGCAUACGCACUAAGGUGGAAAGUGGGGGAUCUUCGGACCUCAUGCUCAUGGAGUGGCCGAUAUCUGAUUAGCUAGUUGGUGAGGUAAAGGCUCACCAAGGCGACGAUCAGUAGCUGGUUUGAGAGAACGACCAGCCACACUGGAACUGAGACACGGUCCAGACUCCUACGGAGGCAGCAGUGGGGAUAUUGGACAAUGGGCGAAAGCCUGAUCCAGCAAUGCCGCGUGAGUGAUGAAGGCCUUAGGUUGUAAAGCUCUUUACCCGAGAUGAUAAUGACAGUAUCGGAGAAUAAGAC